Sus scrofa (pig) is the source of this 1168-nucleotide non-coding RNA. Lineage: Eukaryota; Metazoa; Chordata; Mammalia; Artiodactyla; Suidae. The record is from RefSeq and is a predicted model, not a curated record.
GAGAACUCCUAGCCCUGUGACUCUUGCUCUCUGUGUUCUGUCGGUGGCUCAGAGGACAGAGUGCACCUGGGCCAGCUGAGACACUGGUGAGGCCCUAGGACACUACUGGCCCCAGAUGGCCUUUCUAGCUUCAGUGGCACCUGGUCCAGGGCCUCGGGGCAAAGGCCCCUCUAGGGUCACAACAGUGUCCACUCAGUCCUGUUUUGUUGAUGACCCUGGUGGUGUCAUUCCUGCCCUGGAAUCCUCAGCCAGGCCAGGUGACAAGAGUUCCCCUGCUGGCCCCCUGCCACAGGAACACAAAGUACCUUUGCACACAACCUCUCUUUGUCCCCCACUGGUGACAGCAAAUAGGGCAGGCCCAGGGCAAAUGGUGAGUUGGCAGAAGUUUGUCUCAGACGGUGCUGGCAGCCUUGCUGUUGAGUUCUCUUCCCACUUGGGCUUUCCUGCUGGCUGACUCCCUCCCCUUGCUGCGGACUGGAUGCUGGGAUUUAACCCUUUUAUAACCCAGACGGGCAUGAAAGGACUGCUUGGGGAGCUUGCGGCUUUUUAGGAGAUAUGCUUGGAGGGCAGCAUAUAGAACUUCCCAGGCUAGGGGUCAGUCUAUACCACAGCCACAGCAACAUGGGAUCCAAGCCGCAUCUGUGACCUACACCUCAGCUCUCGGGAACACUGGAUCCUUAACCCACUGAGUGAGACCAGGGAUCGAACCUGCAUCCUCAUGGAGACUAGUUUGUAUUCUUAACCUGCAGAGCCACAAAAGGACACCUCAGUUUUCUGUUUUGUCAAGCUAUUUCUGGGGAUUCUUCUGAAGAUUCAACAAGAUGAUCCAAGCUGAAUGCUUUGCGUCGUGGCCCAUGGUAGGUGCUCAAAAAAACUUUGCUGUCUGCCCGUGACCUGGGUUGGGGCAAGGGGACAAAACGACACAGAAAUGCCCAGGAAACUUCAUCAUGUAGACUGACAGCAUUUGCAAGGGAGGUAACAAAACAAGCAGAAAAAUCUUUUAAAAAUUUUGGCUGAGUAAAGGCAACAGUAUAAUUACUAUCAUUUAUAAAAACUUCUUUCCCAUUAAUGCCUAAUUCCCACGAAGCGCAACAAUGAUUAUCUCAUUAACUGUGUGUCAGAUUAACUUUGUUGUAGGUUUUAUUUGAUUAAAACAGUGAACUCUCAA